This is a long non-coding RNA of Mercenaria mercenaria, 547 nucleotides long. RefSeq lists it as uncharacterized. The record is from RefSeq and is a predicted model, not a curated record. The transcript has 4 exons. NCBI's taxonomy places the organism in Eukaryota, Metazoa, Mollusca, Bivalvia, Venerida, Veneridae.
GUGUUACUUAGGCGGUAUGGAAAUGAGAUUUGCCUCUUGGAUUCAACCUACAAGACCUCAAAAUAUGAUAUCCCUCUGUUUUUUGUAUGUGUUUCCACUAAUGUAGGUUACUCCAUAGUUGGAACAUUUCUUAUUCCAAAUGAAAGACAGAGAGCAUCCAAAGAGGUCUUAGGGUUCUCCAGGAGUGGAAUGUGGAUUGGAAACCAGCAUAUUUUAUGACAGAUUAUGACAUAAAAGAGAUAGCAGCGAUAGAAAACACCUUUCCAGGAACUUUAUUACAAGAUACAAAACUCGCUGGCCUGGUGCUGAUGACAUUUCAGAUGACUGGAGUAUUAAUACGAGACCACAUACAAUACAGUCAGAUAGUUUCAACUGUGGUGUGUAUUGCAUGAUGUUUGCAGAAAGACACCUACUAUCUAUGAACAUGACUGGUAUUGACAACACAGAUCUUACAAAAAUGAGGAAGUCCGUUGCAAGUAGAAUCAUGUUAUUUGAACAUUACCUAACAGACUGUUGCCCAAAGUGCGGCUUUGUAAUAGAAGAUGAU